GUUGUAUCUCUAUCAAUCCGAAGCUUUCGUACAUAUUUCCUCCAGAAUUUCUAGUUGUUUUCAAUCGAUUUCGGUGUAAAAAGUAUCAAAUUUUCGACGAGAAAUUCCAAAUACUUUGUUUAUAUAGAACUCACGUUGGAAAUCCAACGUACUAUAUCUGCCGUUAGCCAAUCACAGGCCUGAAUCAAUUCGAUUUCUCCAGAGCUAUGCCCACCCUUAACCUGCGAACGGGCAUGCUCGGGGAACGAGAUUGCCCAGAAAACCGUUAGAAAAGCGCAACCUCGUUCCAAAGAGCCUGGGACCGAGGUUGAGAAAACCGUUGGCUUUUUGGCGGAAAAAAUUGUAAUGUUUGAAGAAGACAAGAUGGCGUUCUGGUUUACUUCGUAUCAUCAAAGGGCAUUUUUGUUUACAAAUACCCGCUUAUUUUACGCUACAGCGAUUGGUUAGUUUUGGAAAUUAUAACUCAAUGGACAGGGAAAACGAUUCUGUAGUAAAGAGAAAAAUACGUGCAGUUAUUUGUUGUGAAAGACGGCCCGAAAUUUCGCUCAUCGCUGUACUGGUUUAUGGAAAAUUCUACUGGCAAUUCGACCAUGGAUAAAGAGACAGCGCUUGCGUGAAAGAACAGCCUGUCUUGAUGGUAAGUUUUUAAAGGGUUUUCGGUAAUAAUUUUUAGUUUAAAGUUCUUCCCUCGAAGCC
Molecule: non-coding RNA, 696 nt
Organism: Paramuricea clavata
Lineage: Eukaryota; Metazoa; Cnidaria; Anthozoa; Malacalcyonacea; Plexauridae
Source: the annotation of a GenBank genome assembly